This 374-nucleotide ribosomal RNA is filed under the name uncultured bacterium. Its description in RNAcentral is "bacterial SSU rRNA". It matches the Rfam family "Bacterial small subunit ribosomal RNA", at positions 28 to 403 of the family's 1533-position model. The record is from RNAcentral.
GACGAACGCUGGCGGCGUGCUUAACACAUGCAAGUCGAGCGGUAAGGCCCUUUCGGGGGUACGCGAGCGGCGAACGGGUGAGUAACACGUGGGUGACCUGCCCUUAGCUCUGGGAUAAGCCUGGGAAACUGGGUCUAAUACCGGAUAUGACUCCAUGACGCAUGUUGUGGGGUGGAAAGCCUUGUGCGGCUAGGGAUGGGCCUGCGGCCUAUCAGCUUGCUGGUGGGGUGANGGCCUACCAAGGCGACGACGGGUAGCCGGCCUGAGAGGGCGACCGGCCACACUGGGACUGAGACACGGCCCAGACUCCUACGGGAGGCAGCAGUGGGGAAUCUUGCGCAAUGGGCGAAAGCCUGACGCAGCGACGCCGCGGU